Molecule: small RNA, 74 nt
Filed under: Chelatococcus asaccharovorans
Lineage: Bacteria; Pseudomonadati; Pseudomonadota; Alphaproteobacteria; Hyphomicrobiales; Chelatococcaceae
Description: Makes More Granules Regulator RNA (mmgR)
Rfam family: Makes More Granules Regulator RNA (mmgR)
About the family: SuhB later renamed mmgR (makes more granules regulator) was a putative non-coding RNA found multiple times in the Agrobacterium tumefaciens genome and related alpha-proteobacteria. Other non-coding RNAs uncovered in the same analysis include: speF, ybhL, metA, and serC. Several studies inSinorhizobium meliloti showed that suhB element is indeed a non-coding RNA:firstly it was detected on Northern blot and called Sm8RNA, secondly in an RNAseq study referred to as SmelC689.
Source: Rfam by way of RNAcentral
UGUCGCUGCCCUCCUUGGGCGUUUCCUCCCUAGACUUGGGCCGCACAUCAGUGCGGCCUUUUUUCUUUCUUGGG